Molecule: ribosomal RNA, 451 nt
Filed under: uncultured bacterium
Lineage: Bacteria
Description: bacterial SSU rRNA
Rfam family: Bacterial small subunit ribosomal RNA
Source: RNAcentral
CUCCCAGACUCCUACGGGAGGCAGCAGUUGGGAAUAUUGGACAAUGGGGGAAACCCUGAUCCAGUGACGCCGCGUGAAGGAAGAAGGUCUUCGGAUUGUAAACUUAUUUUAUCAGGGAAGAAAAAAAUGACUGUACCUGAAGAAGAAGCCCCGGCUAACUACGUGCCAGCAGCCGCGGUAAUACGUAGGGGGCAAGCGUUAUCCGGAAUUACUGGGUGUAAAGGGUGAGUAGGCGGCACUGUAAGUAAGAUGUGAAAGCCUUAGACUUAACCUGAGGAUUGCAUUAUAAACUGCAGAGCUAGAGUGCAGGAGAGGAAAGCGGAAUUCCUAGUGUAGCGGUGAAAUGCGUAGAUAUUAGGAAGAACACCAGUGGCGAAGGCGGCUUUCUGGACGGAAACUGACGCUGAGGCACGAAAGCGUGGGUAUCGAACAGGAUUAGAUACCCUCGUAU